RNAcentral lists this long non-coding RNA (587 nucleotides) under Ananas comosus (pineapple). RNAcentral describes it as "long non-coding RNA (ACOM_LNC024269)". The record is from RNAcentral. Lineage: Eukaryota; Viridiplantae; Streptophyta; Magnoliopsida; Poales; Bromeliaceae.
AGAAAAAAAUAGUACAAAAUAAAAAAAAUAAAAAUAAAUUUUAAAUAUAAUAAAAAUUUUAAAAAUAUAAUAAUAUACUAAAUAAAAAUAAUACUAAAAUAUAGUAUUAUUAAAAAGUUAUAUAGUAUAGUAAAUAAGGAAAAAUUUUAAAUAUCGUUCUCGUGGUUUCGCGUUUUUUCAUUUUACUAUUUUAUGAUUUCAAAUUUAUNUUUUUUCCGUUAUCCCCUUUGUUAACUCUUUUGUUAAAUCAGUGCCAAAGUUAAAACCACAGUAUAGUAAAGUAAAAAAUUCGGUAAACCACAUGUUAUUAAAGUGAAUAUUCGAUAAAUUAUAUAUGAAAUAUCUGAAAUUUUUUAUAUAUGAUUUAACGACGAGUUAAUAGAGGCGCUGAAGAAAAGAAAAAAAAAACCAAGGUACUGAAGUGAUACGCUCUCAACCACAUGGUACUAAAGUGAGAAAGCGCGAAACCAUAGGAAUGGUAUUUAAAGUUUUUCCUACAAAAUAUACUAAAAUAUAGUAUAGUAGAAUGUAAUUCUCUGACAUAUGAAAUUAAAUUUAUAUUUAUUUCUUAGGAGCUUUUGUGUAUU